ACCUGAAAGAGACCCAACCAUUCCUGAAAUGGGACCAAGGCGGCUUUUAUUUCUAAGAUAGUAGAAAAGAGAUCAAUCUAUUAUAAAACAAAACCUUUCUGGACCACCUUUUGGAGAAAAGCUAAGUACAUUAGCCUUAGGUUUCUAUAAAAGGCUUUCUGAAGAAACGAACUAAAAUUAAAAGAACAGCAGGAGGUCAUUUCCAUGUUGGCAAACUCAUUAUCAGGGCCUUGACUUGGUGCAGGUAUCUGGAUCAGAGCCUGGGGUUUGGGCCCAGCAGUUCCUCAUAAUCCAUCCCAUGGUCUGAAGCACAUCACCUGCCCUCGAGACAUCCCAUCUCCAUUUGGAGGUGAGGCAGGCAGGCAUUCUGUAAACUUAAAAGCUCUAUGUACAUGUUCUUUCCAGAACCCAGCAAAGUUGCACAUCUUUCUCCCUAGGCAACUUGACAAAUGUCCAGAGGACAGCUGCCAAGACGGGUUAAGAUAUUGUAAAUAUCCCUUCAGAAAGGUUAAGGGAUUUGACUGAAGAAGAAAAAUGGAAUAAUUAUCUUCAAAAAGAUGAAGAGCUUUCAUCCAUAGCUGGUGAAAACACAGGGACCACAUGUUUCCGGUCUGCACUAAGCUUCGACAGGAUGAAUGUCUUUCUGGAACUACUUCAUCUGAGCAAGGGUGAGGAAGACAGAAAUAAUGGGAUCGAACCGUGGCUUGUUCCGAACUAUGCUGAAGACAAUUUUAUAAUCCCUGUUGGGUCUAAACUCCCUCACUGCCUUCCCCUUAAACUGUUCCCUGAACACCCUGCCAAGGUAACUAUGCUCACCUCCAAGCCU
Molecule: long non-coding RNA, 826 nt
Organism: Perognathus longimembris pacificus (Pacific pocket mouse)
Lineage: Eukaryota; Metazoa; Chordata; Mammalia; Rodentia; Heteromyidae
Exons: 3
Source: RefSeq, a predicted model, not a curated record